Long non-coding RNA from Cyprinus carpio carpio, 861 nucleotides. The record is from Ensembl. Lineage: Eukaryota; Metazoa; Chordata; Actinopteri; Cypriniformes; Cyprinidae.
ACUGUACAGUACUUUCGUUUUCUCAGUACUGAAACAUUUCACUUGGCUCUCUUUGUUACAGAUCAGAAAACAUUCCCUUCUCUGAUCAAGAAUGAAUCAAGGAUUCAGUUUUGGCAAACCUGUAGCAGUCAAUGUUACUCCAUCGCCAGUGUCCGGCGCACAAGUCAGUAUAUUUCCAGCCACCUCCUCAGACUCCAAUUCUCCUAGCACACCUGAAAACAUAACAACUCCACUUCCUACUCUUGGAGGUAUUAUACACAUAUUCAAACAAUCUUGCAAAUACUUAAACUCUUCACUUCAUAACUACUGAUUUUAUACUUUAACAAGUUCCUAGUGUCAAGUUUCAAGUGUCAUCCUUGUUGGAAAAUGAGUGGAGAAACAUGGAGUGGAGUGAAGAGUAAGUAGACCCACCACUUUAACCCUUUCAUGCAUGAAUUAUUAAACCAUAAAGUAAUAUUUUUUCUUACAUAUUUGUUUUUACUUUUAAACAAGUGACAAAUUAUGCCAAUAACUUGCUAUGUCAUGACAGAAAAGUGAAGUGUAACGAACAAAGGGUAGGAGUGUGUGUGUACGGGGCGGGGGUGGUGUGCUAUUCAUGCAUAUGUGAGCACAAAUACAAACACACACUCGAAUGCAAUCAUCCACACAUAUUCCUGCACUCAUACAGUAUACAUGCAUGCACUUUUAUAUGACAUAAUAAAUAUAGACUGUAAACGUUGAAACAAAUUAAUAAAAUCUGAUAAAAUAAAAUAAAAAAAGAUACAAUCUUAAGACUAUUUAAUAUUUCUGUUAAAUAAAACCAUUCAAGUGUAAAUGAUCAGUUAAUUAUCAUCAAGGGUAAGAAGAAUCAUAAUUUUAUAU